This 178-nucleotide ribosomal RNA is filed under the name cf. Phlebia sp. CBS 118.16. Its description in RNAcentral is "5.8S ribosomal RNA". The stretch from base 3 to 156 matches the Rfam family "5.8S ribosomal RNA". From Rfam's summary of the family: 5.8S ribosomal RNA (5.8S rRNA) is a component of the large subunit of the eukaryotic ribosome. Lineage: Eukaryota; Fungi; Basidiomycota; Agaricomycetes; Corticiales; Corticiaceae. The record is from RNAcentral.
ACAACUUUCAGCAACGGAUCUCUUGGCUCUCGCAUCGAUGAAGAACGCAGCGAAAUGCGAUAAGUAAUGUGAAUUGCAGAAUUCAGUGAAUCAUCGAAUCUUUGAACGCACCUUGCGCUCCUUGGUAUUCCGAGGAGCAUGCCUGUUUGAGUGUCAUGGUAUCAUCAACCUUCAACAC